This 465-nucleotide ribosomal RNA is filed under the name uncultured bacterium. Its description in RNAcentral is "partial 16S ribosomal RNA". It matches the Rfam family "Bacterial small subunit ribosomal RNA", at positions 28 to 506 of the family's 1533-position model. The record is from RNAcentral.
GAUGAACGCUGGCGGCGUGCUUAACACAUGCAAGUCGAACGAUGAAGCCCAGCUUGCUGGGUGGAUUAGUGGCGAACGGGUGAGUAACACGUGGGUAACCUGCCCUUAACUCUGGGAUAAGCCUGGGAAACUGGGUCUAAUACCGGAUAGGAGCGCCUACCGCAUGGUGGGUGUUGGAAAGAUUUAUCGGUUUUGGAUGGACUCGCGGCCUAUCAGCUUGUUGGUGAGGUAAUGGCUCACCAAGGCGACGACGGGUAGCCGGCCUGAGAGGGUGACCGGCCACACUGGGACUGAGACACGGCCCAGACUCCUACGGGAGGCAGCAGUGGGGAAUAUUGCACAAUGGGCGAAAGCCUGAUGCAGCGACGCCGCGUGAGGGAUGACGGCCUUCGGGUUGUAAACCUCUUUCAGUAGGGAAGAAGCGAAAGUGACGGUACCUGCAGAAGAAGCACCGGCUAACUACGU